Molecule: long non-coding RNA, 332 nt
Filed under: Arabidopsis lyrata
Lineage: Eukaryota; Viridiplantae; Streptophyta; Magnoliopsida; Brassicales; Brassicaceae
Description: long non-coding RNA (ALYR_LNC002599)
Source: RNAcentral
CCUGGGAAUGGUAUUUUGGGCUUGUAGGGUGGUGGAACGAAAGCUUUCUUCUUACCCUUAUCAACAGUUGGUUUUUCGAAUUGGGGACUCUUAGCUUGAUCCCUAGGUACAGCAUCUUGGUCAAGCUUAGUGGUGUCUUCUACUUGAGUCUCAUUCUGAAUAGAAUCCUCCCCUUCUUGAAUCUCACUGUCCUCAGUGACAGGAGCUUGGUUAGGUCGAGCACGCAGCUCUCGACCACUGCGGAGUUGAAUAGCAUGAGCAUACUCUUUCGGAUUCUGAAUAGCUUUCCCUGGUAGUUGUCCGGGGUGUGUAGGUGCAGAAGUAGAAGCAGC